AAUUAAUGAGCUUAUCUAAGCAUUUGUUUUGAAAACUUAAGAAAGAAAAUAAUUAUUCUAUUAAUUU
This 67-nucleotide transfer RNA is filed under the name Thaumetopoea ispartaensis. Its description in RNAcentral is "transfer RNA-Ser". Lineage: Eukaryota; Metazoa; Arthropoda; Insecta; Lepidoptera; Notodontidae. The record is from RNAcentral. RNAcentral also lists the same sequence under 1 other name.